Molecule: non-coding RNA, 1165 nt
Organism: Misgurnus anguillicaudatus (oriental weatherfish)
Lineage: Eukaryota; Metazoa; Chordata; Actinopteri; Cypriniformes; Cobitidae
Source: RefSeq, a predicted model, not a curated record
GGGUGAUAUGAGUUCGAGACUGCAUUUCCCAUAAGGCUAUGCAGUAGCGUAAUGUUUACGUCAGCACGCACUAUAAAUAGACGCACGGUAGCAUAGUGUGUCCUCCUCUUUCAUUCAUUGAUUCUGUCAACAAGCAAACAUUAUUAUAAGGUAUUUGUGCUUGAUUGUGUUUGCUUGUGUAAUUAUAUGGGGUGUGCAGUAGCAUAACACGCUCUCGUUUCAUUUAUGCAUUGAUGAUGUAUACAAGUAUUUGCUUACUAAGUGAUUUGCGCUUCACGCUGUCUGUAGGUACUAUAAAUAGACUCAUAGUAGUGUGGAUUGCUUUCACCUCAUUUGUCGGGUCUACAAACAAGCUUGUCGAUCUUCAGGUAAUGGGUCUCUAUGACUAUGGAAGGGUAUAUUUUAAGUACGCCAGCUAAUUAAUGCCAAGUAGUUGAUCGCUUAUGUUUAGAAUUGUUUGUGUGUUUAUAGGUUACUGUUCAUUUAAUUUAAUGCGGGUAUAAGGCAUCUUCAUGUACGGAUUUUAUUGUUAAGGUAAUGAGAAUUUAUAAAGAAAUUAGUAGGUUAAAGGGGUAGAAAGAAAAGUGUUUUAUGAUGUUGUCAUCUUUCAGAAAACCGUGCGUGUUAAUGGUGAUUGGCCUGACGACAGAGUCUUCAAAGAGUAUGAGUGAUGUAUGAGCGAAAUGCUUGUUAGAGGUAAUGAGUAUUAAUAAGUCUUUCUGUUUAUAUGCUAAAAGAAGUUUUUGCUCAUUAAGGUUGUUUUGUAGGUUCCUUUUUAAUAGAAGAAACAACCGGUUGGUUUUAAUUCUGUCUUUCACAGAUCCAGAUAUAUUUUUAAGUUUUCAUCCUUUCUGACUCUCGGCAGCACAGGGGCUUCCCUUGUGGGUGCGACUGGCACUGGUGCGGUGGUGGGAUAUUCUUGUGACGUGGCACCUUUUAUUGUGUGCUGUGAUUGCUGUGUUGAAGUGGGGUUGCAUUGCAGUGGUUGUAUAUCCUUCACAAUUCCAGUGGUGCCUUUUAAGGAGCCCUGUGAUUUUGUCAUGAGAGUAUAAAUAUUUUUCUACAUCAUGAGGUUUGCCAUAGUAUUUUAAAUAUUUUAUCAUGUUAUGUGGAAUUAGAAGUUUUGUAUUAUAAAUAAAACUGCUUGUAAAAGUGAUCAUUGCUA